CUUUUCUGUAAGAACAGAAUUUGCGAAUACGUUUCUCUUGCAAAUGAAUUCAAGAAUCGGGGCCCAGAAGUGAUGCGAGAGAGAAACAGACUUUUUAGUACUUCUUUCUCUAAAGUUACCAGAAUAACUAUCGUGCAUGUCAGCACACAUGCAUACAUAUGUAUAUACAUAUAUAUACACACCAUAAGUUAAAACACGUGACCAAAACGUAUCCAAUCAUUGGAUUUCAAUGUAUAAUAUGUACAAGCAUGCGCGAAACAUAUUUCUGGACUCUUUAGAGAGAGAAAUAUGGACACGGUUUCGCUUGGUAUUGCCAGUCCAUAUCUACAAGGUCUAUGGCUCACUCACUCCUUCAAGAUAACCUCCUUUAACAGUUGCGCUUGGUUGCGCUUUGUCGUCGGCAGCAGUUGGCUGAUAGAAAAUUACAUCAAUUACAUUGUGAUAAAUAAAAAAAAUGAUCCUGCGGUGCUACGUAAAAUAUUGCAAAAAAAAUAGUCAACUUAGGCUGCGAUAUUCACUGCCAGUACUGAAAAUCUAUAGUUUACGUUACAUACACUGUAGAAUUUCAAUACUGGCAGUGAAUACCGGAAUGCAGCUUUAAUAAAGAUGUAUCCUUUUUUCGACAACCGACAAAUUCUGAACUCACGGGGCGCCGGAUUGACAGCGAUACGGUUGGAACAACGGGGAUAGUUCGUAAGAAUUGUUCAGUGGCUGUUUUGGAUCAAGAGGCGGGACUGUCAGCGGGAUUAUAACGGUUCCUGGUUCUUCGGACUAUUUACUAUUGCUAUCGCAACAAAAUUAAAUCGCGGAAAGGUGAAAAGUAUUGAGCGAUACUUACUUUGGUCGAGUUCCGGUUCCGGCUUAAUUAACGAAAAGUCGUCGGAUAUAGUCGCUGGCACAGCUUGCGGUUGACAGAAGCGGCGAAUUAACAGAGGCGAUCACGAUACUUAAGGCCAAGAGUAUAAGUACUGACUGCACGACCGAAAACUGACUUGAAAAUUUUAAAGAGUGACGCUUGAAACGCUUUAAGAUGAAUAAUGACGUGACUGAGAACUAGUGACUGAACGAAUUACUGAACAAGUAUGCUGAACGAUUGCGAGUCUGGCUUCUGUGCGCGGAUUUAAAUAAGGCGCGGACAAAGAGGUUGAGCAAAAUCGGUGCUGCGCUCAACGGCCGCUAGCGCGCCGGAGUAGGGAACACGCGCGAAGCGCAAGAGUCGGUAAGAGUGGGAGUGAUUCGGCGGCUUGGCGGGAACCGAAUUUCGGGGGCCGCUGAUAACACAGACUUCUAUAAUAUACUAGACUGCUAGGCUCGUUAUAUAUUCUCCAUUUAUAGUGUGUACCCGAAAAGUAUGUACAAAUAGGAGUUCAUAGGCGGCAGACUGAAUUACCGAUUGGAAUGUGGCUAAUAUUUUAUAGUCCUACGACUAUGGAUUACUAGAGGAGUGAGUGAGAUGUAUGAUACAAUAUAUACAUAUAUUAUGUGAUAUGAGAGCGUUCUCCUUGGACGCUUAUGCGUACUUAUGCGUUAAACGUAUCAUUCUUUUGCUCUUGUAAUAUAAAAGAAAAAGAUAAAAUGACAAUAACCAAGCAACUAUAUGUGACAUUUAUUGGCAUAUAUAUAUGUACAUAUACAUCCCACUUGACGAACAAUGUACAUACAUAGUAGAUGACACAUUCCGAUCGGUUAUUCAGUCAUGUACAACAUGUACAUUAUAUACUGGUACGCCUAGGGAAUCAAGGUUAGCAGUCUAGUAUAUUAUAGAAGUCUGUGGCUGAUAAGGCGCGUGAGACUAUCUGCACGUGUGCGGAUGUUUAUUAGAGAUAUCUCGUCUAAGAUUUCGUUGAUCAUUUGAUCCGGAAUAUUUUUCGGCUAGGAUCGCUUUCACAAACGAAUAUUCCGCCGUUUUAUCUUGUUUUCUGUGCGCGACAUCUCGUCGCCAACGUGAAAUGGAUAUCUUACGGACUGUUUAUAUGAAAUGCCUAGCUAUGGUUCACCUGAUCUUCCGACACGCAGUCCGGAUAUUACGCGGAUUAAUUUCAUAUUGUAUUUCUUUAGGCGCGACAUCCUCACCGCCGUGUUGAUAGCAAAUUUUGUUUUAGAACUGUUCGGUUCAAGUCUUUGAGGAUUUAGUUGACGAGAUAUCGUUUCUUUAAUCAUCCGACGGUGCACGUGCAGAGGGCCUUUACAAAUAUCCGGUUCUUAUUUAUCUUAAAGUUAAUUAAUUCUCGACAAACCCAUAAGCAAUAUAAGAGUAAGAAUUUAGAAUUUUUAAUGAUCCGAUUGCCUAUGCGUUUGUACCAAUAAGAAAGUUAAAAUAAUGUUAGAUAUAACCUAAAGUAUACGUAUAUGUAAUAUCGAUAUAUGGUUUUGAUAUAUACAUAUAUAUAUAUAUAUAUA
Long non-coding RNA from Monomorium pharaonis (pharaoh ant), 2400 nucleotides. RefSeq lists it as uncharacterized. The transcript has 3 exons. NCBI's taxonomy places the organism in Eukaryota, Metazoa, Arthropoda, Insecta, Hymenoptera, Formicidae. The record is from RefSeq and is a predicted model, not a curated record.